Molecule: ribosomal RNA, 301 nt
Filed under: uncultured bacterium
Lineage: Bacteria
Description: partial 16S ribosomal RNA
Rfam family: Bacterial small subunit ribosomal RNA
Source: RNAcentral
CAGCCGCCGCGGUAAUACGUAGGUGGCAAGCGUUGUCCGGAUUUACUGGGUGUAAAGGGAGCGCAGGCGGACAUAUAAGUCCAUCUUAAAAGUUCGGGGCUUAACCCCGUGAUGGGAUGGAAACUGCCAAUCUAGAGUAUCGGAGAGGAAAGUGGAAUUCCUAGUGUAGCGGUGAAAUGCGUAGAUAUUAGGAAGAACACCAGUGGCGAAGGCGACUUUCUGGACGAAAACUGACGCUGAGGCGCGAAAGCCAGGGGAGCGAACGGGAUUAGAGACCCCUGUAGUCCCUGUCUCUUAUACA